CUAAGGCUAAAUACUCUCUAGUGACCGAUAGUGAACCAGUACCGUGAGGGAAAGGUGAAAAGCACCCCGGAAGGGGAGUGAAAUAGAACCUGAAACCGUGUGCUUACAAGUAGUCAGAGCCCGUUAAUGGGUGAUGGCGUGCCUUUUGUAGAAUGAACCGGCGAGUUACGAUUUGAUGCAAGGUUAAGCAGUAAAUGUGGAGCCGUAGCGAAAGCGAGUCUGAAUAGGGCGUUUAGUAUUUGGUCGUAGACCCGAAACCAGGUGAUCUACCCUUGGUCAGGUUGAAGUUCAGGUAACACUGAAUGGAGGACCGAACCGACUUACGUUGAAAAGUGAGCGGAUGAACUGAGGGUAGCGGAGAAAUUCCAAUCGAACCUGGAGAUAGCUGGUUCUCUCCGAAAUAGCUUUAGGGCUAGCCUCAAGUGAUGAUUAUUGGAGGUAGAGCACUGUUUGGACGAGGGGCCCCUCUCGGGUUACCGAAUUCAGACAAACUCCGAAUGCCAAUUAAUUUAACUUGGGAGUCAGAACAUGGGUGAUAAGGUCCGUGUUCGAAAGGGAAACAGCCCAGACCACCAGCUAAGGUCCCAAAAUAUAUGUUAAGUGGAAAAGGAUGUGGCGUUGCCCAGACAACUAGGAUGUUGGCUUAGAAGCAGCCAUCAUUUAAAGAGUGCGUAAUAGCUCACUAGUCGAGUGACACUGCGCCGAAAAUGUACCGGGGCUAAACAUAUUACCGAAGCUGUGGAUUGUCCUUUGGACAAUGGUAGGAGAGCGUUCUAAGGGCGUUGAAGCAUGAUCGUAAGGACAUGUGGAGCGCUUAGAAGUGAGAAUGCCGGUGUGAGUAGCGAAAGACGGGUGAGAAUCCCGUCCACCGAUUGACUAAGGUUUCCAGAGGAAGGCUCGUCCGCUCUGGGUUAGUCGGGUCCUAAGCUGAGGCCGACAGGCGUAGGCGAUGGAUAACAGGUUGAUAUUCCUGUACCACCUAUAAUCGUUUUAAUCGAUGGGGGGAC
This 1007-nucleotide ribosomal RNA is filed under the name Staphylococcus aureus. Its description in RNAcentral is "partial 23S ribosomal RNA". It matches the Rfam family "Bacterial large subunit ribosomal RNA", at positions 460 to 1473 of the family's 2925-position model. The record is from RNAcentral. Lineage: Bacteria; Bacillati; Bacillota; Bacilli; Caryophanales; Staphylococcaceae.